AGAGUUUGAUCCUGGCUCAGAGCGAACGCUGGCGGUAUGCUUUACACAUGCAAGUCGAACGGAUUUGGGGGCUUGCUCCCAAGUUAGUGGCGAACGGGUGAGUAAUAUAUCGGAACAUAUCCGGAAGUGGGGGAUAACGUAGCGAAAGUUACGCUAAUACCGCAUAUGCCCUGAGGGGGAAAGGGGGGGAUCGCAAGACCUCUCGCUUUCGGAGUGGCCGAUAUCGGAUUAGCUAGUAGGUGAGGUAAAGGCUCACCUAGGCGACGAUCCGUAGCUGGUCUGAGAGGACGACCAGCCACACUGGAACUGAGACACGGUCCAGACUCCUACGGGAGGCAGCAGUGGGGAAUUUUGGACAAUGGGCGAAAGCCUGAUCCAGCCAUACCGCGUGAGUGAAGAAGGCCUUCGGGUUGUAAAGCUCUUUCAGCCGGAAAGAAAUUGCAUCUAUUAAUACUAGGUGUAGAUGACGGUACCGGAAGAAGAAGCACCGGCUAACUACGUGCCAGCAGCCGCGGUAAUAC
RNAcentral lists this ribosomal RNA (521 nucleotides) under uncultured Gallionella sp. RNAcentral's name for it is "bacterial SSU rRNA". It matches the Rfam family "Bacterial small subunit ribosomal RNA", at positions 8 to 526 of the family's 1533-position model. The record is from RNAcentral. Lineage: Bacteria; Pseudomonadati; Pseudomonadota; Betaproteobacteria; Nitrosomonadales; Gallionellaceae.